AGCAGCCGCGGUAAUUCCAGCUCCAAUAGCGUAUAUUAAAGUUGUUGCAGUUAAAAAGCUCGUAGUUGAACUUCGGGGUUUACUCAUUGGUCAGGCUUAAUUGUCUGUACUGGUGAGAUGAAUCUCUACCUUCUGAGGAACUUUCAUGCCAUUUAUUUGGUGUGAUUGGAAAUCAGGACUGUUACUUUGAAAAAUUAGAGUGUUUAAAGCAGGCUAACGUCUGAAUACAUUAGCAUGGAAUAAUGAAAUAGGACGGAUUGAUUCUAUUUCGUUGGUUUCUAGGGUCACCGUAAUGAUUAAUAGGGAUAGUUGGGGGCAUUAGUAUUCAAUUGUCAGAGGUGAAAUUCUUGGAUUUAUUGAAGACUAACUACUGCGAAAGCAUUUGCCAAGGAUGUUUUCAUUAAUCAAGAGCGAAAGUUAGGGGAUCGAAGACGAUCAGAUACCGUCGUAGUCUUAACCAUAAACUAUGCCGACUAGGGAUCGGACGAAGUUAAUUAAUAAUGACGCGUUCGGCACCUUA
RNAcentral lists this unclassified non-coding RNA (520 nucleotides) under uncultured Diversispora. RNAcentral describes it as "SSU rRNA". It matches the Rfam family "Eukaryotic small subunit ribosomal RNA", at positions 569 to 1090 of the family's 1831-position model. The record is from RNAcentral. Lineage: Eukaryota; Fungi; Glomeromycota; Glomeromycetes; Diversisporales; Diversisporaceae.